RNAcentral lists this long non-coding RNA (1572 nucleotides) under Stylophora pistillata. RNAcentral's name for it is "uncharacterized LOC111320570, transcript variant X1". The record is from RNAcentral. Lineage: Eukaryota; Metazoa; Cnidaria; Anthozoa; Scleractinia; Pocilloporidae.
UGAUUAUAGUUCUAUAGGAACAAUUGGGCUUUUUCAAACCAAAGGAAAGGACUUGCAUGCAAAGACUUAAUAAAGAAUUAAAAUACAGACAGAUGACAUCAUUUACUAACAUUGCUUGGUAAAGCACCAGGCAACGAAUACACGUCUUAUUGUAGAGUUCAUCUUUUUUUUGCUUGGUGACAUAAUGCUAACCAUACUAUUCAUAUGUUGCAAGUGCAGCAUUAGUAGAGCUCCCUUUUUGUUCAAACUUUAAAACAAAGAAAACUGCAUUUACAAACUGUAUUGUUCUAGCCUAAACAAAGUAAGUAGUCUUACCGGUAACUAUCAUAUUGUACUGUAACUAAGUAUUGUGCUGUAAUAUUACUAUUUUCCUCUGUUUAUCUUGUUUAGUUUUUCUUAUGUAUAUUGUGUCUAUAAAUGAAUUAAAAAAAGAUGAGUGAAAUAAACUAAGCAAAGCUUUCUUCUUAUUAGCCUUAUUAAUGGCUAAGUGAAGUCUACAGAUCUGGACAAAAGCUUUUUUAUUUAACUAUUUUCCUGAGGCAUGCUCAUAUACUAAAUAAAAUAUCUCCAAAUGAACUGUGAACCAUGCACUGAAUGUAUUCCUGUCUUAUUUUUUCACUUGCAGUAUGAAUUUUUAUGUAAGACUGCCCAAAAAUAUUCAGUUGCAUCCAAAAACAUAAACAAGGCAGUGGACAUUUCAGACCAUUUCACUUUAAAAAUAGUUGUUCCAAACACAGUGAAGCAGCAAGUUAGAUCUUUGCUUUCAAGAAUUUGGGGAGAAAUGCUACAGCUAGACAUUUUACUCAAGAAUUUAAGUUCCAUGAAUGUGACUUUAUGAAGGCAAAAGGUUGGAAGAGGAUGGAACUUUGGAAAUGCACGCAGUUUACAAGAACAAAUGGACAUUACAGAUUUUUCACCAAUGACAAGACCAAAGAAUGCUUAAUAUUUGCACCAUUGAGCCAGGUGGACUAUUUCUAGGUGAAAACAUUGGUGUGGAUGUGCAAGAGUUGACUGAAAGCAGUUCAGUAUUUCAAAGUGUAACUUUCAAUAACUGUAAUAUUGAAGUCAUUACAAAUUCUAUAAACUGCAAUAAUAUGUGAAUUACCCAACUAUUCUGUUACAAUCUUUGAAGGAAAUAAACUUUUGUUGUCUGCAUGGGACUUUAUUUGGUUGGAAUUAAUUUAUUCAUGUCACAGGAUUUUUCUGGAAUCAAUAGACACUUGGAUAUUGUGUCCAAAUCUUUAAAGAUUUUGAUACGAUAUUCAAAUCUUAAAAGAAUUUCAUCUCCUUGGGUGUCCAAAUGCAUCCGCUGUGAUGCAGUAUAUAGUUGUUGAUCGGUGCAGAGGGCUUAAGUUAUGAAUUAUUAUUGAGUUUGAGAAGUAUUGUUGUUGAGUCCUGUCAUUCAAUCCAGCGUUCUCACUAUCCAAUGCAUUAAGGUGAAUUGUGAGUUAUGCCAUCACAUAUGAAAGGCUGCUCAGCUUCUCAAACUCAUUAAUAAUUCAUAACUAAAGGUGAUCAUCCAACCAAGACAUGCCAAUUUCAUCACGUGCUUUGAAACCCCAGUGAAACACU